RNAcentral lists this ribosomal RNA (440 nucleotides) under uncultured bacterium. Its description in RNAcentral is "partial 16S ribosomal RNA". It matches the Rfam family "Bacterial small subunit ribosomal RNA", at positions 338 to 795 of the family's 1533-position model. The record is from RNAcentral.
CCUACGGGAGACAGCAGUGGGGAAUAUUGCACAAUGGGGGAAACCCUGAUGCAGCGACGCCGCGUGAGUGAAGAAGUAUUUCGGUACGUAAAGCUCUAUCAGCAGGGAAGAAAAUGACGGUACCUGACUAAGAAGCCCCGGCUAACUACGUGCCAGCAGCCGCGGUAAUACGUAGGGGGCAAGCGUUAUCCGGAUUUACUGGGUGUAAAGGGAGCGUAGACGGCAGCGCAAGUCUGGAGUGAAAGCCCAUGGCUUAACCAUGGAACUGCUUUGGAAACUGUGCAGCUAGAGUGCAGGAGAGGUAAGCGGAAUUCCUAGUGUAGCGGUGAAAUGCGUAGAUAUUAGGAGGAACACCAGUGGCGAAGGCGGCUUACUGGACUGUAACUGACGUUGAGGCUCGAAAGCGUGGGGAGCAAACAGGAUUAGAUACCCCAGUAGUC